RNAcentral lists this ribosomal RNA (613 nucleotides) under uncultured Alphaproteobacteria bacterium. RNAcentral's name for it is "bacterial SSU rRNA". It matches the Rfam family "Bacterial small subunit ribosomal RNA", at positions 8 to 656 of the family's 1533-position model. The record is from RNAcentral. Lineage: Bacteria; Pseudomonadati; Pseudomonadota; Alphaproteobacteria.
AGAGUUUGAUCCUGGCUCAGAACGAACGCUGGCGGCAGGCCUAACACAUGCAAGUCGAAGGAGAAGUUUCUCUUCGGAGAGAUGGACACUGGCGCACGGGUGAGUAACGCGUGGGGAUCUACCCCGGGGUGGGGGACAACCGCUGGAAACGGCGGCUAAUACCGCAUACGCCUUAAGAGGGAAAGCUUUAGCGCCCUGGGAUGAACCCGCGUUAGAUUAGGUAGUUGGUGGGGUAACGGCCUACCAAGCCGACGAUCUAUAGCUGGUCUGAGAGGAUGAUCAGCCACACUGGGACUGAGACACGGCCCAGACUCCUACGGGAGGCAGCAGUGGGGAAUAUUGGACAAUGGGGGCAACCCUGAUCCAGCCAUGCCGCGUGCGUGAAGAAGGCCUUAGGGUUGUAAAGCGCUUUCACUGGUGAAGAUGAUGACGGUAGCCAGAGAAGAAGCCCCGGCUAACUCCGUGCCAGCAGCCGCGGUAAUACGGAGGGGGCAAGCGUUGUUCGGAAUUACUGGGCGUAAAGGGCGCGUAGGCGGAAUAUCAAGUUAGGGGUGAAAGGCCUGGGCUCAACCUAGGACCGGCCUCUAAACUGAUAAUCUAAAGUCCGGAAAAG